This is a long non-coding RNA of Vespa mandarinia (Asian giant hornet), 103 nucleotides long. The record is from RefSeq and is a predicted model, not a curated record. NCBI's taxonomy places the organism in Eukaryota, Metazoa, Arthropoda, Insecta, Hymenoptera, Vespidae.
CUUUUCACUUGUCUCAACAACGAAAGAUAGAGAGAUAGAGAUAGAGAUAGAGAGAGAGAUAGAGAGAGAGAGAGAUGAUAAAAGAGAGAGAAAGAGAGAGAGA